RNAcentral lists this ribosomal RNA (209 nucleotides) under Clostridioides difficile. RNAcentral describes it as "partial 23S ribosomal RNA". It matches the Rfam family "Bacterial large subunit ribosomal RNA", at positions 2516 to 2724 of the family's 2925-position model. The record is from RNAcentral. Lineage: Bacteria; Bacillati; Bacillota; Clostridia; Peptostreptococcales; Peptostreptococcaceae.
GUUUGGCACCUCGAUGUCGGCUCAUCACAUCCUGGGGCUGUAGUAGGUCCCAAGGGUUGGGCUGUUCGCCCAUUAAAGUGGUACGCGAGCUGGGUUCAGAACGUCGUGGGACAGUUCGGUCCCUAUCCGUCGCAGGCGUAGGAAAUUUGAGAAGACCUGUCCUUAGUACGAGAGGACCGGGAUGGACGUACCUCUGGUGUACCAGUUGU